AGAAGAACAGCUGGGUCAAAUGGUGGUUUUUCAUUCCCAGUUUUCAAGGAAUCUCCAUACUACUUUCCAUAUUGGCUGUACCAAUUUGUAGUCCCACCAGCAGU
Molecule: microRNA precursor, 104 nt
Filed under: Marmota monax (woodchuck)
Lineage: Eukaryota; Metazoa; Chordata; Mammalia; Rodentia; Sciuridae
Source: RNAcentral